UACGGGAGGGUGCAAGCGUUUAUCCGGAUUCACUGGGUUUAAAGGGUGCGUAGGCGGGUUGGUAAAGUCCGGUGGUGAAAUCCCCAAGCUUAACUUGGGAACUGCCGUGGAUACUAUCAAUCUUGAAUAUCGUGGAGGUAAGCGGAAUAUGUCAUGUAGCGGUGAAAUGCUUAGAUAUUGACAUAGAACACCAAUUGCGUAGGCAGCUUACGUACACGAUCAUUGACGCUGAGGCACGAAAGCGUGGGGAGCAAACAGG
RNAcentral lists this ribosomal RNA (259 nucleotides) under uncultured bacterium. RNAcentral's name for it is "partial 16S ribosomal RNA". It matches the Rfam family "Bacterial small subunit ribosomal RNA", at positions 524 to 776 of the family's 1533-position model. The record is from RNAcentral.